Molecule: ribosomal RNA, 301 nt
Filed under: uncultured bacterium
Lineage: Bacteria
Description: partial 16S ribosomal RNA
Rfam family: Bacterial small subunit ribosomal RNA
Source: RNAcentral
CAGCCGCCGCGGUAAUACGUAGGUGGCAAGCGUUGUCCGGAAUUAUUAGGCGUAAAGCGCGCGCAGGCGGCUUCCCAAGUCCCUCUUAAAAGUGCAGGGCUUAACCCCGUGAUGGGAUGGAAACUGCCAAUCUAGAGUAUCGGAGAGGAAAGUGGAAUUCCUAGUGUAGCGGUGAAAUGCGUAGAUAUUAGGAAGAACACCAGUGGCGAAGGCGACUUUCUGGACGAAAACUGACGCUGAGGCGCGAAAGCCAGGGGAGCGAACGGGAUUAGAUACCCCCGUAGUCCCUGUCUCUUAUACC